GUGGGGGAUCUUGCGCAAUGGGCGAAAGCCUGACGCAGCGACACCGCGUGAGGGACGAAGGCCCUCGGGUUGUAAACCUCUUUCGGCAGGGACGAAGCGAACGUGACGGUACCUGCAGAAGAAGCUCCGGCUAACUACGUGCCAGCAGCCGCGGUAAGACGUAGGGAGCGAGCGUUGUCCGGAUUCAUUGGGCGUAAAGAGCGCGCAGGCGGUUCGGUAAGUCGGUCGUGAAAUUCCGGGGCUCAACCCCGGGACUGCGUCCGAUACUGCCGGACUAGAGGUAGGUAGGGGAGAUCGGAAUUCCUGGUGUAGCGGUGGAAUGCGCAGAUAUCAGGAGGAACACCGGUGGCGAAGGCGGAUCUCUGGGCCUUACCUGACGCUCAGGCGCGAAAGCUAGGGGAGCGAACAGGAUUAGAAACCCCUGUAGUCC
RNAcentral lists this ribosomal RNA (430 nucleotides) under uncultured bacterium. Its description in RNAcentral is "bacterial SSU rRNA". It matches the Rfam family "Bacterial small subunit ribosomal RNA", at positions 354 to 796 of the family's 1533-position model. The record is from RNAcentral.